GACGAACGCUGGCGGCGUGCUUAACACAUGCAAGUCGAACGGAAAGGCCCUGCUUUGGUGGGGUGCUCGAGUGGCGAACGGGUGAGUCACACGUGAGUAACCUGCCCUUGACUUUGGAAUAACUUCAAGAAACUGGGGCACAUAACGGAUAGGAGCUCCUGCUGCAUGGUGGGGGUUGGAAAGGUUGGGCGGUUGGGGAUGGACGCGCGGCUUAUCAGCUUGUUGGGGGGGAAGUGGCUUACCAAGGGUUUGGCGGUAAGCCGGCCUGGGGGGGGGACCGGCCCCAUGGGGAUGGGAAUACGGCCCAGCCCCCUACGGGGGGCAGCGUUGGGGAUUAUUGCACAAUGGGCGGAAGCCUGAGGCAGCACCGCCGCGGGCGGAAUGACGGCCUUCGGUUUGUAAACCGCUUUCGCAGGUGACGAAGCGUGAGUGACGGUAAUUGGUAAAGAAGCACCGGCUAACUACGUG
Molecule: ribosomal RNA, 468 nt
Filed under: uncultured bacterium
Lineage: Bacteria
Description: partial 16S ribosomal RNA
Rfam family: Bacterial small subunit ribosomal RNA
Source: RNAcentral